This 538-nucleotide ribosomal RNA is filed under the name uncultured bacterium. Its description in RNAcentral is "bacterial SSU rRNA". It matches the Rfam family "Bacterial small subunit ribosomal RNA", at positions 772 to 1306 of the family's 1533-position model. The record is from RNAcentral.
ACUGAAUAGAUACCCGGGUAGUCCACGCCGUAAACGAUGAUAACUAGCUGUCGGGGGCCAUGGGCUUUCGGUGGCGCAGCUAAACGCAUUAAGUUAUCCGCCUGGGGAGUACGGCCGCAAGGUUAAAACUCAAAGAAAUUGACGGGGGCCUGCACAAGCGGUGGAGCAUGUGGUUUAAAUUCGAAGCAACGCGCAGAACCUUACCAGCGUUUGACAUCCUGAUCGCGGUUACCAGAGAUGGUUUCCUUCAGUUCGGCUGGAUCAGUGACAGGUGCUGCAUGGCUGUCGUCAGCUCGUGUCGUGAGAUGUUGGGUUAAGUCCCGCAACGAGCGCAACCCUCGUCUUUAGUUGCCAUCAUUUAGUUGGGCACUCUAAAGAAACCGCCGGUGAUAAGCCGGAGGAAGGUGGGGAUGACGUCAAGUCCUCAUGGCCCUUACGCGCUGGGCUACACACGUGCUACAAUGGCGGUGACAACGGGCUGCUACCUCGCGAGGGGAAGCUAAUCCCAAAAACGCCGUCUCAGUUCGGAUUGUUCUCU